ACACCGUCUUACUGCCUAACUCCUCGGAACCCUCGGAGGUUGCGCAUAAACAAUUUUUUCUUCCAGAACGGCCCCCCUCUCCGCCCUGGGGGAGCCGGGAGGAUGUGCAGCCCCAGUCCUCCUGCUCGGCGGAGCCUCGCGCGCGCAGAGCCUAGCGCGAUUCGCGCCCUCAUUACUACUACAAAGCGCGGGCCAGACCAAUCCCCUUUCUAAUGCACCAUUUUCGACUGAGAACAUCAAGAGGCCAGAAACUUCCAAGUCAGCUUGCAGACGCAGACGCCUCCUGGGGUCCUGGCUUUAAGAACCAGAUGCCAACACUCCCGGACAGUUUAUGGCAUCCGGAUCCCUCAAGGGUGCUCAUCUGCAGUUGAGAGUUCACCAUGUAACAAAUGCAGACAUCUCUGAGAUCACCAUGCAGUGAGGAAGUCUAAGCUGGUGGCAUGAAGAGGCCACAUGGAAAGGGCUAAAAAAGGGGCCAGCCUCAGUCAUCCCAGCUGAGCACCUGGCUGGGAAUAAAAGAGGACUCCGUGGAUGUCCAGCCCAGUAAGAUGACCUCAGCCCCAGCCACCAACUGACCAAGCACACAAGACAUCGUGAGGCUGCCUGCUGGAGCCUGGCCAGUGGGACUGUAGAGUAACUCAUUGUCGUGCAGGAACUCCUGGGAUGGUGUUGCCCAGUGACACAAUCCCAGUGUGGCCAUUUCUGAUCCCGAGAAAGCAGUCAGGAGUGGGUGGAUGCAGUUACAGUUCAUCAAGUCCUGCUAGUUCAAGUCAUGAGUCCUGAAUUCUCCAGGAGGAGCCACUAAAGAAAUGCAGAAGCAGGCAAUCCUUGCAAUAAGGCCAGCAAACUGCCAGUGUGAAGGAUGCCCAGGUAACCUGCCCAUGCCAGAACGGCCAGGAGAUGGUGGAACCAGAAUCUAAGCCCACGCCCAUCUGACCUCAAAGUCUGUGCUCCUGAGGUUCGCACCGAGUUGCCUCCUAAGACUUGCUGAAACUGGAUCACGUCCAUUUACCCAUCUCUGAGAGAAAUGCAAGCUUUAAAAAAGGAAAUAUUUACUAUGGAUAUUUUACAAUAGUUCCAAAACAUGAAAGUUUUAAAUAAGAUAUUCUUAACCAUCCUCACCACAUCUUCAGGUUCCCUUACAGCCACUGUGUUUUGACGAUUGCCCAUUAGAAAAAAAGACUAUGCUUUCUGUAGGUUUUAAAGGAAUGGUGGUGAAAUAAGGAGCAUUCCCUGAGCAGAUCUUGCCUGCGGGCACACCUCUGAGCAUUGGACCAGGCGAGAAGAGCCCAUGUGUUGGCUGCUUUGGGAUCCCAGCACUGCCAAUGGCAGGUGGGCUGUGGCCCAGGGAGAGAACCUAGCCUUUUGCAUUCUCUUGCCCCAUUUGAAAAUGGAGACGAUAGUGGCGCCCCGCUCAGUGUUAUUUUGAGGAUUUGAAUGUAUCUCAGAUGUAGUACCUGGAAAAAUAUAAGUGCUCAGUAAAUACGGUUGCCAGAUAAAAUGCAGGAAACCUAUUUAAAUUUAAGUUUUGGCUGGACAAUGAAUAGAAUAAUUUUUCUUAGUAUGAGUAUGUCCUUAUAUUUCAUCUGCUAAAUUUAGCAACCUCCUCAGUAAACGAUCACUACAAUUGCAGAAACGCCUUAUGACAGAUAUAGUAAAUCUGUAAAGAAAUAGGAACUUGCAUUUAUUUUUACUAAGCUCUGACUGGUUAAGAUAACUGGGCAAGAGAAGAUAUCUUCGACUAAACUUGCAGCACAUAGAGUAUAGAGAUUCAAAUUUGAAGUCCUAUAGGACUAGAAUGGCCAGAGGUGAACUGUAGCGAGCUUAUCUAAAGAGGACCAAUUUCAAAAGUUCCUCAGAGACUUAAAUGGGCCCACAGACCCCUCCUGUGUCUUUGCAUAAGCCAGCUCGUUAUAUCAGUUAUAAGUUGAUUUCCAGAGAAAUGUACCCUGGAGAUCCCUCUCCCACUUGAAAUAGGACUGGCCAAUCCAGAUGUCCCCCAGGUGAUGUUGGCUCAAAUGGAGCUCCAUAUAUUGGAGAAUCUAUUCAAGAAAACAAGCAAAAGUAUUUGUGACUGAGUUAGCUAAUGCCAGCUGGUAUCUUGAACAAACCCAGAUCUCUAACAUGCUAGUUUAUUUCGUAGUGUAAAAUGUGUGUUACUGAUGGGCAGACAGCUCUCAUUCAAGCAGUGACAGAUGUAAGCUCUUCCCAUUUUUGUGGCCCCAUUGUAUUCGGCGUGUGGCUUCCAAGUUGCCUGGGAUCAUCUCCACCCAGACUAAGGAAGAGGAAAGAGCUUGGACAACUGCACUUGGCUGGUUUUUAUGGAUCAGGCAAGGAAUUGGCUCCAACACAUUAGCUCACAUUCCAUUGGUUAGAACUGGGUUUCUCAACUAUUAGUACAGGGUGAGUGUAGGGUUUUGGCACCAUGGGCAUUUGAGCUGGCCAAAGGCUAAUCAGAGUUAGAACAAAGCCACAAAGCCUGUGAAUGGUGUUUAUUGUUGUGAGGAGCUGUCUUGUGCAUUGUGGAAUGUUCAGCAGGAUGCUCUCUGGCCUCAGAGACUCACUAGAUUCCCAUAGAACUCUCCUCUCUCCUCUAGUUGUGACAACCACAGUUGCCUCCUCUCCAGACAUUGCUAGAUGUCCCCGGGAGGCAAAAUUGUCCUGGUUGAGAACCACUGUGUUAGAACUCGGUCACAUGGCCAUACCUAACUGCAAGGGAGGGGGCUGGAAGAUCUAGACGAGUAGUAUGCCAGGAAGAAAAUAGAACUGAUUUAGAGGCUGCUGGCCAGUCACUUUCAGUGACCUUCAGCAUACUUAUUCCUCUGCAGCUGUCAGGACACUCAUGCCUGUUUCUGAGAUGUUUCCUGUGUGAGGGGACAUAGUGACUAUUGGAGGGGUGACAUGUUGGACUUGGGUAGGGUGAAGAGGAUUGGAAACCACCAUCAUGUUUGGCAGCAUUGAAUGUUUAUGACUAUUUGAAUAGUUGUGACAAGGGUACAGUGAAGGAGGAAGUAACCAUUUUUGAAUACCCUUUUACAAUUUGCAAAGCACUUUUAAAGGUAAGAGUGAGUUCCUAGACCAUAUUAGGGUGAGAAUGGACAUUGUUGGCUGCCAUAUCAUUGGGCAGGGGCUUUGAGAUUUUUGUCUUCAGAAGGCAGAUUAGAUUUGGAGUAGAAGGAGAAAUGUAAAGACCUGGUAUCUGAGUGUGUUUGCAGAGGGGAAUUGUCGUUUGGAAGCACAAGAAAGGGAAUGGCCCGUUGGCACAUAUGGUACAUUGUGUUUUCAUAUAAUUAUACCUGAAUGAAAGCAAGAGGAAACGUGUAGGAAGCUGUUUACAUAGUCCUUUUAAUAAUGUUUACAUGAGUUAAUGAACAUGCAAACGUAUCUGAUGAAAACAUGUCAGUAGUGAAACAGCCUUGUGAAGAAUCAGAUCUUACCUCAGGCUGGAAAAAAGGACUGGUUUUCCAAGCUCACAAAUUGCAGCCAGUGUGAAUAGUAGCACAAAUGACUGAGCUUUAAGACAUCCAUCCAUCCAUCUAUCCAUCCCCUCAUCCAUCCAUCCCCUCAUCCAUCCACCCAUCCAUCCAUCCCUUCAUCCAUCACUCCAUCCAGCCAUCCGUCCCUUCAUCAAUCCAUCCAUCCCUUCAUCCAUCCAUCCAUCCUUCCUUCCAUUCAUCCCUUCAUCCAUCCGUCCAUCCAUCCAUCCAUCCACUCAUUCAUCCCUUCAUCCAUCCAUCCAUCCAUCCUUCCUUCCUUCCAUUCAUCCCUUCAUCCAUCCGUCCAUCCAUCCAUCCACCCAUUCAUCCAUCCAUUCCUUCAUCAACUCAUCCCUUCAUCCAUCGUCUACCAUUCAUUCACCCCUUCAUCCAUCCAUUCAUUUAUCCAUCCGUCCAUUUACUUCCAUCCAUCCCUUUAUCCAUCCAUUCACCCAUUCAUCCCUUUAUCCAUAUGUCCAUUCCUCCAUCCAUCCAUCCAUCCAUUUACUCUUCAUCCCUUCAUCCAUUUUUCCAUCCAUUCAUCCAUUCAUCUUUUCAUCCAUCCAUCCAUUGAUCUAUCCAUCCAUCCAUUGCUCCAUCCAACCAUCCAUCCAUCCCUUCGUCCCUUCAUCCAUCCAUCCAUUCAUCCCAUCAUCCAUUGAUCACUUCAUCCAUCCAUCCUUCCAUCCUUCCAUCCAUUCUUCCAUUCAUCCAUCCAUGUGUUCAGCAAGUAUUUACUGAAUGCCUAUUAUGUGCCAAGCACUCUCCUCAGAACUUAGGAAAUACCAGGAAACAAAAUCAACAACAAUCCCUCACCACCUGGAUAUUACAUUUUGGUGGGAAGAGACAAAGAAAUAAAAUUGGUGAGUGAAUCACAUAGGUUAUUAGAAGGUGAUAAAGGUGUAGGUGAUAAAGGAGAAGUGCCAGGAGCAAGGAUUGGGUACAGUUGUGAAUAAGGUGGCCCCAAUAGGUUGCACUGAGAAGGUGACAUUUGCACAGAGACUUGAAGAAAGGAAGGAGAGAACAUGACUGUACCUGGGUAACAGCAUUUGUGGAAGAGGGAACAGCCAGUGUAAAAGUUCCAAGGCAUGAGUGCCUGGUACAUACAUGGAACAUCGAGGCCAGGGUGGCAGAAACGCGGUGAGUCCAGGAAGGGAAUAGGAACUAAGUGUAGGAAGGUGUACAGUGGGGUGGUGUGGGGGUGGAAUUGUGGCAGCCAGAUGGUGUUGGCCUAAGGCCUCUUGGCCCUUGUUAGGACUUGGUUUACCAUGGCGCAACACAUCCAUGAGAUUGGCAAAAAUUAAAAAGUCUGACAACAGAAAAUCUGGUAAUCUGGUGAGGAUGUGGAGCAGUGGGAAUUCUCCAAUACUGCCAGGGAGCAUGGGCAUCAAUCCCACCACACUGGAAUGCAAAGGGGCAUUCUGAGUAGAACUGAAGAUGUGCCCAUCCUUGACCCCACAGUUCCAGCCAUGGGCAUGCGCAUGAAUGUGCACACGUGUUGACUGCGGCAUUUGUUUGUCAUUAUGAAAACAUCUAAGUUUCCAUCUAUGGGAGAGGGGAUAAUGUGGGAGUGCCCAACAGUGGAGUUCUAGAGAGCAGUAAAAAUAAAUGGACUAGAGCUGCACACGUCAAAAUGGAUGAAGAUAAAAGACAUAAGGAUGGAAGAAGACCACCUGGCCACAGAAGUAUAUGUCCAAUAUGAUGCUGGUGUAUCCAGAGUGUUCAAACAAACAACACAACACUACUCAUUGUUUCCAACGUGAGUAUGAAAGUAUGGAGCAGUGCGGAGGGCCAGGAGUGCUGAAUCCACAUGGUUACUUCUCCAGGCGGGGGCCGAGGACCAGGGCUGGAGGUUUACUCCAGGAGCUUCAGUGGUGCAUGCUGAAUGUGCUGUUUCUUGGGCUGGGGGACAGAGAUGUGCAUGCUGUUAUACACUCUAUAUUGAAAUGAUUGUAUAACAAUAUACUAAUUUAUCAUGUAAUAAAUUUGACCAGAAAGAAACAACUGUUCUGUGGCUGCUUCCAUGACUGGAUUUCACGUUGUAGGUUUCUAAGCAGAGAGUCCAAGGAAAACCAAAGGAGCGGCGGAAGGAUAAGCCUCCCGGGUGUUCUGGGAGUGUCCCUUUGCUUGGGCUCCUCCGUUAGAGUUGAGAAAACCUGGGACUUGUGACUACUGGAGUCAACCUGGGAUCCUGGCACCAAAUGCCAGCAGAAACAAUCCUGCCCCCCUCGGAAGAUGAGAUGAGGUUCUUUAUGGAACAUGAGUGCAGUUCGAGAGCUUCAGGUAGAAAGCCCAGUCGUCCUUACCCUGCGUGGCCCAUCCAGGAUCACGAAUGGGGUCAGCCUCAGGGAGCUAUGAGCCUGGUGUCUGAGACACAGCUUGGGCCUUUGUACUGCUGGAAGCACAGGGAACCCUGAGGGUUGAUCAACUCCCCAGCAAAGACAAACUGGCAUGCUCGUCAGUGUGAGAACAAAGCUACAAGACCUAGGAGUGGCAUUUUGCAGAUCUGCUGUUUUUCAAAAAAACUUGUGCUUGAAUGUGUAUAACAUAAAAUUUACCAUUUAAGCCUUGUGUGUGUGUGUGUGUGUGUGUGUGUGUGUUUGAGAUGGUGUCUCGCUCUGUGGCCUGGCUGCAGUGCAGUAGCUCACUGCAACCUCCACCUCCCAGGUUCGAGCGAUUCUCCUGCCUCAGCCUCCCGAGUAGCUGGGAUUACAGGCACCAGCCACUACACCCAGCUAAUUUUUUAUAUUUUUGGUAGAGAUGGGGUUUCGCCAUGUUGGCUAGGCUGGUCUCGAACUCCUGACCUCGUGAUCCACCCAAAGUGCUGGGAUUAUAG
Molecule: long non-coding RNA, 6312 nt
Filed under: Homo sapiens (human)
Lineage: Eukaryota; Metazoa; Chordata; Mammalia; Primates; Hominidae
Description: HSALNT0300294
Source: RNAcentral